RNAcentral lists this ribosomal RNA (389 nucleotides) under uncultured bacterium. RNAcentral describes it as "bacterial SSU rRNA". It matches the Rfam family "Bacterial small subunit ribosomal RNA", at positions 419 to 793 of the family's 1533-position model. The record is from RNAcentral.
CGGGUUGUAAAGCACUUUCAGUAGGGAGGAAGGUAGUGUAGUUAACACCUGCAUUAUUUGACGUUACCUACAGAAGAAGCACCGGCUAACUCCGUGCCAGCAGCCGCGGUAAUACGGAGGGUGCGAGCGUUAAUCGGAAUUACUGGGCGUAAAGCGCAUGCAGGCGGCCUGUUAAGUCAGAUGUGAAAGCCCGGGGCGUUAACCUCGGAAUUGCAUUUGUAAACUAGGCAGGCUAGAGUCUUGUAGAGGGGGGUAGGAAGUUUCAGGUGUAGCGGUGAAAUGCGUAGAGAUCUGAAGGAAUACCAGUGGCGAAGGCGGCCCCCUCGGACAAAGACUGACGCUCAGAUGCGAAAGCGUGGGGACGCAAACAGGAUUAGAUACCCUGGUAG